Molecule: ribosomal RNA, 510 nt
Filed under: uncultured bacterium
Lineage: Bacteria
Description: bacterial SSU rRNA
Rfam family: Bacterial small subunit ribosomal RNA
Source: RNAcentral
GAUGAACGCUAGCGGGAGGCUUAACACAUGCAAGUCGAGGGGCAGCAUAGGGUAGCAAUACUCUGAUGGCGACCGGCAAACGGGUGAGUAACGCGUAUGCAACCUACCCUGUACAGGGGGAUAACCCGGAGAAAUUCGGACUAAUAUCCCGUAAUAAUAUCCGGAGGCAUCUUUGGAUAUUUAAAGUUCCGACGGUACGGGAUGGGCAUGCGUAACAUUAGCUGGUUGGUAAGGUAACGGCUUACCAAGGCUAUGAUGUUUAGGGGUCCUGAGAGGGUGGUCCCCCACACUGGUACUGAGACACGGACCAGACUCCUACGGGAGGCAGCAGUGAGGAAUAUUGGUCAAUGGGCGCAAGCCUGAACCAGCCAUCCCGCGUGCAGGAAGACGGCCCUAUGGGUUGUAAACUGCUUUUCCAGGGAGAGAAACUUACGCACGUGUUGCGUGACUGACGGUACCCUGGGAAUAAGCAUCGGCUAACUCCGUGCCAGCAGCCGCGGUAAUACGUAG